Molecule: ribosomal RNA, 253 nt
Filed under: uncultured Nocardioides sp.
Lineage: Bacteria; Bacillati; Actinomycetota; Actinomycetes; Propionibacteriales; Nocardioidaceae
Description: partial 16S ribosomal RNA
Rfam family: Bacterial small subunit ribosomal RNA
Source: RNAcentral
UACGUAGGGUCCGAGCGUUGUCCGGAAUUAUUGGGCGUAAAGGGCUCGUAGGCGGUCUGUUGCGUCGGGAGUGAAAUCCCUGGGCUUAACCCAGGGCCUGCUUCCGAUACGGGCAGACUAGAGGCAUUCAGGGGAGAACGGAAUUCCUGGUGUAGCGGUGAAAUGCGCAGAUAUCAGGAGGAACACCGGUGGCGAAGGCGGUUCUCUGGGAAUGUUCUGACGCUGAGGAGCGAAAGUGUGGGGAGCGAACAGG